This is a long non-coding RNA of Populus trichocarpa (black cottonwood), 1885 nucleotides long. RefSeq lists it as uncharacterized. NCBI's taxonomy places the organism in Eukaryota, Viridiplantae, Streptophyta, Magnoliopsida, Malpighiales, Salicaceae. The transcript has 5 exons. The record is from RefSeq and is a predicted model, not a curated record.
UGUCUCCUAUUAAAAAAAAAUCAAAUUACUCCAUCAGCAAGUUCACCAUUUUUUUAUUGUUGGAAGGGGGAAAAAUCACUAUUCCGGUGAACAGAGUUCUAUCUAAGGAAUUGUCAUUCCAGUCAGGAAAACCUUUGGCAUCCGGAUCACUUUUAGAUGAGAGCCAAGUAAGGUCCAUUGUGGAGGAGAUAAAGCAGGUCAUCACAGCCAGCUCAGUUAGAAGACAAGAAAUUAAGAGCGGAGAGGGUCAAAGCAGAGGACUUUGAAGCAGAAGAAGGGGAGCCGCUUGAGGAAGAAGAUGAGCUUUUUGAUCAAGUAUAAUGUGCAUGGAUCUUUGGCUUAUCAUUUAAUGGAUUAUUGUUUGCUUUUGUUUCUUUCCUUGCUGAAGGCUGGUGAUUGCUUGGGCACAUUGAUGAUCAAAACCUUCGAAGCCUCUUUCUUACCUUUCUUUCUUUGAUGAGCUUCCACCUUACAUAACACCUAUGUGGGGUAAGGAUAAAACAUCAGAAGAGAGGAGUAUCGCCAUUUGUAUAUUUGACGAGCAUUGUAAGGAAGCUGCUCUUAAAUAUUAUGGUACCUAUGUCUCUUUCCUGCUAGAAGCCUGCAAUUAAUGAUGAAAACCCAGAUGUUCGUCAGGUGUGUCCCGUGAAGUACAUUUAUUAUUUUACUUCUCUAGUGAAUGUUGGUUUUGUUAAUAAAUGAGCACCAUGUUUUUCGGGCAGCUGUUUGUCGAAUUGGUAUCUGUGCGGGGCUUGGUGGAUCUGGAUCUGUGUUUAAACCACUCGCUGGAGGCACUUUCCAGGUUCAAUGCUGUAAUAAGUCAUCCCAAUGCACUUCAUUCGGACAAUACAAUGCCAUUUUGACAAUGCUGUUUCAGCUCUUGGAAAAAUAUGCGAGUUUCAUCGGGAUAGCAUAGAUGCAGCACGGGUAUUUAUUUUAUCCUUUCUCUUACGUGAGCCUAGGUGGUUCAUAAUGCUUUCUGCUUAGGGCCCGUCCUCCCUGAACUGAUAUUCAUGAAUGAUUGGUUUGAUCUCUGUGCUACUUCUAAAAGAGCGAGCGAACAAUUGCAUGGACCAUUCUGGCGUCCUGCAUGAAUCUUGGAUUGUUAUAUGAAGUCUUCCACAUGAUUUAUUGUUCUAUCUCAUCCUUAAUACUUCUUUCAUUGCGUGUAUUUUAGUGCACAAAUAUAUUCUAAACAAAACGCCAUUUGUUACAGGUCUGAUAGAGAACUUUCAGGGCCAAACAAUCAAUACCCUUUCUGUGCCCUGCUUGCCUCUAUCUCUUGCAUUUGGAAAUUGAAUGUUGCUGUUGUUUAAUUCCUGUUUUAGUUUUCCUAGUCAUUGCAACAUUGUUGCUGUAGGUCAUAUGUGCAGGCAAAGAGUUGGCAACAGAGCAAACAGUCAUUCGAAUGAUUAAUCUGUUGAGACAAAUUCAGCAAAUGUUACCAUCUGCUACCAUAGCUUCGACUUUGUCAUCCUUGGAACCACAGCAGCAUCUUGCUUUGCAAUCUAUUCUCUCUUCUUAGCUCAUUUGGAAUUGUUGGGAUUCAUUAUUAUUUCCUCCAAGUUGGAUCUAUCAUCCUUUGUUCUUCUGCAGCGGUGGCCAUGUCAUGGUUCUCUCUGGGAAGCGGCUGUGUCCUGUCCAAGUUCCUACUGCAUCGGCGAGCAAUGUCAUUGUUUCAUGGGGAUGCUGUUGCCUGUGUUCAGCAAGCGAGUGUUGUGUGCUGAAUUUCCUUUCUUCAGAGUGGUUCUCUAUUUGUGGGUGAAAUGAAAAAUAGGAAAAGAAAUUUUGGCAUAGAAUUUGUACACUAUGACUGGUAUUAAUUUUGUUAAAUAAUACAUUUAUUUAGUUUUAUUUAUUAAGAAUAAAAUAGUAUUUUGAGUUC